UAAAAUUUAUAAAAUUAGGUAGUAAAGAAUUUUCUGAAACCUAAAGAAUUUGGCGGUAUUUUAAAUAAUUGGAGGAACCUGUUAUUUAAUUGACAUUCCACAACAUAUCUUACCUAAAUUUUAUUUGUAUAUCGUCGUUUUGAUAAUAUUCAAAAAUUAUUAUCGACUUUAAUAAAUUUUUUAAAAUCAGAUCAAGGUGCAGUAUAUUUAGGGUAUAAUGGGUUACAAUAUAAAAAUAUAUUACGAAUAUUAAAAUAAAUUUACAUUGAAGGUGGAUUCAAAAGUAAGGUUAAUUUAAAAUGUUAAUCUGAUUAAUAAUUUAAAAUAUGC
Molecule: ribosomal RNA, 330 nt
Filed under: Konetontli pattersoni
Lineage: Eukaryota; Metazoa; Arthropoda; Arachnida; Scorpiones; Vaejovidae
Description: partial 12S ribosomal RNA
Source: RNAcentral